Molecule: ribosomal RNA, 878 nt
Filed under: Staphylococcus equorum
Lineage: Bacteria; Bacillati; Bacillota; Bacilli; Caryophanales; Staphylococcaceae
Description: bacterial SSU rRNA
Rfam family: Bacterial small subunit ribosomal RNA
Source: RNAcentral
AACGUCGAGCGAACGGAUAAGGAGCUUGCUCCUUUGAAGUUAGCGGCGGACGGGUGAGUAACACGUGGGUAACCUACCUAUAAGACUGGAAUAACUUCGGGAAACCGGAGCUAAUGCCGGAUAACAUUUGGAACCGCAUGGUUCUAAAGUAAAAGAUGGUUUUGCUAUCACUUAUAGAUGGACCCGCGCCGUAUUAGCUAGUUGGUAAGGUAACGGCUUACCAAGGCAACGAUACGUAGCCGACCUGAGAGGGUGAUCGGCCACACUGGAACUGAGACACGGUCCAGACUCCUACGGGAGGCAGCAGUAGGGAAUCUUCCGCAAUGGACGAAAGUCUGACGGAGCAACGCCGCGUGAGUGAUGAAGGUUUUCGGAUCGUAAAACUCUGUUAUUAGGGAAGAACAAAUGUGUAAGUAACUGUGCACAUCUUGACGGUACCUAAUCAGAAAGCCACGGCUAACUACGUGCCAGCAGCCGCGGUAAUACGUAGGUGGCAAGCGUUAUCCGGAAUUAUUGGGGCGUAAAGCGCGCGUAGGCGGUUUCUUAAGUCUGAUGUGAAAGCCCACGGCUCAACCGUGGAGGGUCAUUGGAAACUGGGAAACUUGAGUACAGAAGAGGAAAGUGGAAUUUCCAUGUGUAGCGGUGAAAUGCGCAGAGAUAUGGGAGGAACACCAGUGGCGAAGGCGACUUUCUGGUCUGUAACUGGCGCUGAUGUGCGAAAGCGUGGGGAUAAACAGGAUUAGAUACCCUGGUAGUCCACGCCGUAACGAUGAGUGCUAAGUGUUAGGGGGGUUUCCGCCCCUUAGGUGCUGCGCCUAGACGCAUUAAAGCACUCCGCCUGGGGAGUACGACUCGCAAGUUUGAAACUUCAAAAGGAA